UGGGGCGUCGCCAAGNGGUAAGGCAACGGCUUUUGAUGCCGUCAUUCGCAGGUUCGAUCCCUGCCGCCCCAGCCA
This 75-nucleotide transfer RNA is filed under the name Magnetovibrio sp. Its description in RNAcentral is "tRNA-Gln". It matches the Rfam family "tRNA". Rfam says of the family: Transfer RNA (tRNA) molecules are approximately 80 nucleotides in length. Their secondary structure includes four short double-helical elements and three loops (D, anti-codon, and T loops). The record is from RNAcentral. Lineage: Bacteria; Pseudomonadati; Pseudomonadota; Alphaproteobacteria; Rhodospirillales; Magnetovibrionaceae.